Molecule: long non-coding RNA, 1945 nt
Organism: Daphnia pulicaria
Lineage: Eukaryota; Metazoa; Arthropoda; Branchiopoda; Diplostraca; Daphniidae
Exons: 11
Source: RefSeq, a predicted model, not a curated record
CAUUUUGAUUUUUCUUAAAUAGGCCCGUAUAUUUUCACUGUAUUUUCUUAUUUAUUAUCAAUAUUUGAGCGUUUUAAUGGUGUUUUUCGUGCUUAGCUUUUAAAUUUACCCUAUGUACAUCUAUUUCCAGUCAUUUUGUUUUAAUUUUGUUACCAGUUUUCUUUCUCUCUCUUCCCUAUAGGAACUGUCAAAAUGGUGAUAUUUCCUUCAGUAACCUGCUUUCUUCCCAUCAAAACACCCCUAUUUUCUUUGUAAAAUAUCAAUUAUGGGGUAGGGCUUGGGACCCUUUUUCUGAAGAAAUUACCAGUAUUAUUGGUUAUCAGUGGAAUUUUCUUCAUCGUUAACUAUGAAGGCUGGAAAAAGAACAUAGUAGCUAGGUGCAACAGGUGACAGUAUUACCAAAGGAGCCGGGAUUGGUACAACACUUAACAUGGAACAUGGAAACCUGUUUGAAGAUAUUAUACUGGGAUCAAAUGAUGCAGAGACAAGUAGGCCCUAAAUCUCCAGCUGCAUUGGCUUUCAACAGUCAACGUAACAGCCAUGCUGAAGAAAAACUGGAUGUUAUUGAACGUGAAGCAAAAGAAGACAACAGAAAGCAUGCAGCAAAAGUUGCUGAAGAAGUUGCUACUAUGAUUUCACGAGUACCAGAGUAUGUUUUUGAUGCAUAUGAAGACGGAUGUCAAGAAUUGAAGCCGAUAAAAAAAAGCAAGAAUCCGAAUGGAGUAAACGAGUUACGAUAGACACCGAAACCUGGAAUGAAUUUACCCCUAGACUUUUGGACGCAUUUGUGUCGGCCUGAGCUUGUGACGCCGAGCGAUGCGAUAAUUGUAAGCAGGAGCUUACAAUCAUUAUUCGUUGUUUUGAUGACUGCAAGAGUCACCUUUGCCCGGACUGUGAUGUUAAAAUUCAUUCAACCAGACCUUUCCACGACCGAAAGCUGUUCUUAAAUGAGUUUGAGUCCCGCCCACUAUUGACUCACGAGUUUUAUGGAGUUGAAAAUCGACCACUCAAUAUUGGAAUGCGCGUUUUUGUGCCAGUAAGCUGCAGAACUGAGAAGUGCAAGAAACUUGGAACGAAAGGUACAUUGGUACUUGUUGCUGGAACCAAUUACUGUACUGUGAUCUCGGGAGAAGGUCGAUUUGAUCUACACUGCGCUGCGUUUAAGUGUUCCCGUUGUGAUGGCGUAAUGAACGCGGAACUUGAGGACUACAUUGGCUCGGGGUAUUGGCCUGGAAAUCCCAAAACACUUGGAAUUUUCUUUACGACUUCAUUUCUGAAGCUGUAUUUCCACCUCAAGAAUUACCUACCAGGCUCAUCUGAAUAUGGCCUUCUAAAGGCAUUGGGUGCAUUUUCAGCUGAUGCAGGACGGGUAUUUUUCAUGAACCAACGAGCACGGAUUCGACGAGUCAAGUGCAUCGCUGACGAUCGUCAUGAAACCUGAAAUGAGCCACGAACCCGAAAUCAAAGUUGAAUACUACGAAGAGACCAACAUCGAAGUUAAAGUCACCGCCCAUCCCAAAUCUAAAGUGAAAUGGUUGAAGGACGGCAUUCAAAUCAAGUCCACCACUAGCGAACGCAUCAGCAUCAGCGAGGAAGCUUCCAACGUUUUUUUUCAAACAAACUUUCUGUCCACUCGGAGGCUCCUACCUUCUCUACGAAACCCAAAAGCUGUUACGCCAGAGCUGGACAGACGGCCAAGUUUGAAGGUUGCGUCCAGGGUAUACCUCUGACCGUCAUUUCGUGGCAAAAGGCGGACGAAGUCAUUGUCGAAUCGGAACGAUUCAAAAUGGAGAGCGCUGAGGACGGAACGUUUGGUAAUGCAAUUGUAUUAUUUCAUUUAUAAUUAAAUUUUUUCAGCACAACUUCAUAACGAAAGGGAAGCUUCCGUAUUCGACAACCAUUGAACUCCAACAAGCUCCUGUCAUAGCUAAAUUUUAUAGAUGUU